Molecule: ribosomal RNA, 380 nt
Filed under: uncultured euryarchaeote
Lineage: Archaea; Methanobacteriati; Methanobacteriota
Description: bacterial SSU rRNA
Rfam family: Archaeal small subunit ribosomal RNA
Source: RNAcentral
UAAUACCUGCAGCUCAAGUAGUGGCCGCUAUUAUUGGGCCUAAAACGUCCGUAGCCUGUUUAGUAAAUGCUUGGGUAAAUUGUGUAGCUUAACUAUACGAAUACCGGGUAGACUGCUAAACUUGGGACCGGGAGAGGCUAGAGGUACUCCUGGGGUAGAGGUGAAAUUCUGUAAUCCUAGGGGGACCACCAGUGGCGAAGGCGUCUAGCUAGAACGGGUCUGACGGUGAGGGACGAAGCCCUGGGGCGCGAACCGGAUUAGAUACCCGGGUAGUCCAGGGUGUAAACGCUGCUUGCUUGAUGUUAGUUGGGCUCCGAGCCCAACUAGUGUCGGAGAGAAGUUGUUAAGCAAGCUGCCUGGGAAGUACGGUCGCAAGACUG